AGGAUUCCCCUAGUAACGGCGAGUGAAGUGGGAAAAGCUCAACUUUAAAAUCUGGCAGCUUCGCUGUCCGAGUUGUAGUCUCGAGAAGUGUUUUCCGCGCUGGAUCGUGUAUGAGUCUGUUGGAAUACAGCGUCAUAGAGGGUGAGAACCCCGUUCAUGACACGACUACCAGUGCUUUGUGAUACACUUUCGAUGAGUCGAGUUGUUUGGGAAUGCAGCUCAAAAUGGGUGGUAAAUUCCAUCUAAAGCUAAAUAUUGGCGAGAGACCGAUAGCAAACAAGUACCGUGAGGGAAAGAUGAAAAGCACUUUGGAAAGAGAGUUAACAGUACGUGAAAUUGUCGAAAGGGAAACGCUUGAAGUCAGACGUGCGCGGUGCGAUUCAGCCUUGGUUCGCCAGGGUGUACUUCGUACCAUUGCAGGCCAGCAUCGGUUUUGUGAGCCGGAUAAAGGUUAGAGGAAGGUAGCGGUCCAGGCCGUGUUAUAGCCUCUAACUGAAUACGGAUUGUGAGACCGAGGGACGCAGCGCGCCGCAAGGCAAAGGGUCCGCCCUUUUCGCGCUUAGGAUGCUGGUGAAAUGGCUUUAAA
Molecule: ribosomal RNA, 586 nt
Filed under: Symmetrospora coprosmae
Lineage: Eukaryota; Fungi; Basidiomycota; Cystobasidiomycetes; Symmetrosporaceae
Description: eukaryotic LSU rRNA
Rfam family: Eukaryotic large subunit ribosomal RNA
Source: RNAcentral